CAGGUUUAGAGAAACCCAAGUUAGCUUGCUGCAAGUAUUGACUGACUCAGUUUGAAUUGACUUGAUCAAGUGAUUUUGUUCAUUACAAGUGAAUCAAACUUACACCCUUUUUAUCUGCAGGAAUAUCACCCUGUACAAAUUUGAUACCCAGUCUGUUUUUCAUCACCAAAUCCCCUGGUUGCUGGUGAGUCUUAUUAGUAAACACCUUCUUAACAAGUGCUGGGAUUCAGUCUCUAGGCCAAAAUGGGUAUGACGGACGAGUUCGAAGCUUCUUUGCAGGUAUACUAUGGGGAUUUGAUACUGACAUUUCUUUUGAAGUGAAUGAAAUCAAGAGAUCUGUAGCUUCCACAAGCAGGAGAACAGCCAUCUGAUUUUCUGAUCUCAAGCAAAUAAUAUAUUGAUUUCCUCUAAUAGUAAGAAUUGGGUUACUAGUAUUGCAGCAGCUAAGUGGAGUCAAUGACAAUCUAUUUUAUGCAAGCAAUAUUUUCAAAGCUGCUGGUCGUUUGUGUAUCAACCGUCACUAUCUGCCAAACCAAGUUUUUCUUAAAGAUGAGGUAUGCAGAUAAGGUGCCCCACCUUAAAGAUGACCAUACGCAAGAAUUUGGCUGGUCCAUCUCACUGCAAAGUUGCCAUGAGAAAGAGGAGAUCGAGCGAAGAGCUGGGUUUGGGGUUAUCUGAUGCAAUCUGUAUAUCAGACUUGCACAGGUGCUGUCAUCCUAACGACAUCGUUUUCUGGGGUCUUAUAGUUCCAUUUCUCUCAAUCGAACAUUUCAACUUGAAUAUGAGAAUGUAGUAUCAGAAACAACAAUUUCUACUAUACUGAAAAAUCGGUCAAAGUCUUCACCAUCUUGUGGAGUUUCUGAUAAACCAGACGGCCGUCCUUUAAAUUAAUCCAUAAAAGAAAACAUUAUUCUUGAUUAACUAGUUUUUUAUCCAAGGAUAUGGCUAGUUCUAUUGUAUGAGAUUGGGAGCCUACAACUGAAUGAAUGGCACCAUUCCAGUCUAUGCGCCUGCUUCACCAGAAUGGUGGCAUCUUAGUAAAGGCACUGGUAAGUGUUAAAUAUAAACUUGGUUAAGGGAAAAUAUGAGAAAUUGUGAUCAAAGGCUCUACCUUGCAAAAAAAAAAAAAAAAAAAGGUUGCAUUUGCAGUGUUUUUUUUUUUUUUCCAAGGCAAAAGUAAAUUAAAGAGUAAUUAAGUAUAGCACUAUGGGCUGGUUGGCAACUUUGCAAGAUUUGUUUGAUUGCCA
This is an RNA transcript of Magnolia sinica, 1247 nucleotides long. It is a transcript of the gene named G2/mitotic-specific cyclin-2-like, with no coding region annotated. The record is from RefSeq and is a predicted model, not a curated record. The transcript has 6 exons. NCBI's taxonomy places the organism in Eukaryota, Viridiplantae, Streptophyta, Magnoliopsida, Magnoliales, Magnoliaceae.